CCCAGACUCCUACGGGAGGCAGCAGUGAGGGAUAUUGGUCAAUGGGGGAAACCCUGAACCAGCAACGCCGCGUGAGGGAAGACGGUUUUCGGAUUGUAAACCUCUGUCCUCUGUGAAGAUAAUGACGGUAGCAGAGGAGGAAGCUCCGGCUAACUACGUGCCAGCAGCCGCGGUAAUACGUAGGGGGCGAGCGUUAUCCGGAUUUAUUGGGUUUAAAGGGUGCGCAGGCGGAAUGUCAAGUCAGCGGUAAAAUUUCGGGGCUCAACCCCGUCGUGCCGUUGAAACUGGCGUUCUCGAGUGAGCGAGAAGUAUGCGGAAUGCGUGGUGUAGCGGUGAAAUGCAUAGAUAUCUCGCAGAACUCCGAUUGCGAAGGCAGCAUACCGGCGCUCAACUGACGCUCAUGCGCGAAAGCGUGGGUAUCGAACAGGAUUAGAUACCCUAGUAACC
This 447-nucleotide ribosomal RNA is filed under the name uncultured bacterium. Its description in RNAcentral is "bacterial SSU rRNA". It matches the Rfam family "Bacterial small subunit ribosomal RNA", at positions 330 to 796 of the family's 1533-position model. The record is from RNAcentral.